GGGGAAUAUUGGACAAUGGGCGAAAGCCUGAUCCAGCAACGCCGCGUGAGGGAUGACGGCCUUCGGGUUGUAAACCUCUUUCAGCAGGGACGAAGCGAAAGUGACGGUACCUGCAGAAGAAGGACCGGCCAACUACGUGCCAGCAGCCGCGGUAAUACGUAGGGUCCGAGCGUUGUCCGGAAUUAUUGGGCGUAAAGGGCUCGUAGGCGGUUUGUCGCGUCGGGAGUGAAAACUCAGGGCUCAACCCUGAGCGUGCUUUCGAUACGGGCAGACUAGAGGUAUUCAGGGGAGAACGGAAUUCCUGGUGUAGCGGUGGAAUGCGCAGAUAUCAGGAGGAACACCGGUGGCGAAGGCGGUUCUCUGGGAAUUACCUGACGCUGAGGAGCGAAAGCAUGGGGAGCGAAC
RNAcentral lists this ribosomal RNA (405 nucleotides) under uncultured bacterium. Its description in RNAcentral is "bacterial SSU rRNA". It matches the Rfam family "Bacterial small subunit ribosomal RNA", at positions 356 to 773 of the family's 1533-position model. The record is from RNAcentral.